AAAAGCAGAGCGACGUAUACGGCAGAGCAGGAAAGCAGAGCGACGUUCACAGCAGAGCAGGAAAGCAGAGCGACGACCUCGGCGGUGCAUGAAGGCAUAGUGACGUCCACAGCAGAGCAGAAAAGCAGAGCGUCCUCCUCAGCGGGACAUAAAAGCAGAGCGACGUCCUCGACGGAGCAAGGAAACACAGCGACGUACUCAUCAGUGCAGGAAACCAGAGCGACGUACUCAGCAGUGCAGGAAAGCAGAGCGACGUCCUCGACUGAACAGGAAGGCAGAGCGACGUCCUCGGCUGAACAGGAAGGCAGAGUGACGUCCUCGGCGGUGCAGGAAAGCAUGGUGACGUCCUCAGCGCAGCAGGGAAACAGAGCGACGUACGCAGCCGUGCAGGGAAACAGAGGGACGUCUGCAGUGGAACAGGAAAGCAGAGCGACGUCCUUGGCUGAGCAGGAAAGCAGAGUGACGUCCUCGGCUGAGCAGGAAAGCAGAGCGACGUACUCAGCGGAGCCUGCAGGCUGAACUUGGCUGGUCGUGAGCAGAGCUUGGUUGUCCGUAUCAACAGACACGUGGUUGUGUAUGUCAACAGACGUGGACAUGAGCAGAGCCUGUCAGCAAACUUAGGCGUGUGCAGAACUUGAUUGUCCUUGUCGGCGGACUCGGGCGUGAGCAGAACUUGGCUGUCCUUGUCGGCGGACUCGGGCGUGAGCAGUACUUGGCUGUCCUUGUCGGCGGACUCGGGCGUGAGCAGUACUUGGCUGUCCUUGUCGGGGGACUCGGGCGUGAGCAGAACUUGGCUGUCCCUGUCGGCGGACUCGGGCGUGAGCAGUACUUGGCUGUCCUUGUCGGCGGACUCGGGCGAAUCAAGGUCGUGGUCACAGAAAACAGUGUCGAGACACAAAACAUAAAACAUGAACAAUGGCAAGAUACUGGGAGCGGAGAAACCAGCUUGAACUAAACAAACGAAUCUAAACAUGACAUGAACUAUGACUAUGGUAAACUAUCGUAAGGACUCUAAACUAAUCUAC
Long non-coding RNA from Ictalurus punctatus (channel catfish), 1025 nucleotides. The record is from Ensembl. Lineage: Eukaryota; Metazoa; Chordata; Actinopteri; Siluriformes; Ictaluridae.